Molecule: ribosomal RNA, 253 nt
Filed under: uncultured bacterium
Lineage: Bacteria
Description: partial 16S ribosomal RNA
Rfam family: Bacterial small subunit ribosomal RNA
Source: RNAcentral
GACGUAGGGCGCGAGCGUUGUCCGGAUUUAUUGGGCGUAAAGAGCUCGUAGGCGGCUUGUUACGUCGUUCGUGAAAUCUCAGGGCUCAACUCUGAGCUUGCGGGCGAUACGGGCAGGCUAGAGUUCGGUAGGGGAGACUGGAAUUCCUGGUGUAGCGGUGAAAUGCGCAGAUAUCAGGAGGAACACCGGUGGCGAAGGCGGGUCUCUAGUACGGUACUGACGCUGAGACGCGAAAGCGUGGGGAGCGAACAGG